AUGUUUUGCAGUAGUUUUUUGACUUUUCUUCUUCGUCUUCUUCGACUUCUUGUUUAUCUUGUUCUUCUUAUUGUUGUCCUUGUUCUUUUUGUUCUUCUUCUUCUUCUUGUUUUUCUUGUUGUUCUUCUUGUUGUCGUUCUUAUUGUUGUCCUUGUUGUUCCUCUUGUUGUCGUUCUUGUUUUUGUUCUUGUCAUUCUUGUCGUUCAUGUUGUUCCUCUUGUUGUCGUUCUUGUUGUUGUUGUCGUCGUUCUUCUUGUUCUUCCUGUUGUUGUUCUUUUUGUUGUUCUUCUUGUCGUUCUUGUUGUUGUCCUUCUUGUCCUUGUCGUUCUUGUCCUUGUUGUUGUUCUUAGUCUUGUUGUCCUUGUUGUCCUUGUCGUCGUUCAUGUUGUUGUUCAUGUUGUCGUUCAUGUCGUCCUUGUUGUCGUCCUUGUUGUCAUCCUUGUUGUCGUCCUUGUUCUUCUUCUUCUUGUUCUCCUUCUUGUUCUUGUUGUCCUUGUUGUUUAUCUUGUUCUUAAUGUUGUCCUUGUUCUUUUUGUUCUUCUUCUUCUUCUUGUUCUUUUUGUUCUUCUUCUUCUUCUUUUUUUUCUUCUCCUUGUCCUUCUUCUUUUCCUUGUCGUUCUUCUUGUUCUUCUUGUUGUCGUUGUUGUUGUCGUCGUCCUUGUCGUCCUUCUUGUUGUCCUUGUUGUUGUCGUUUUUGUUGUCCUUGUUGUCGUUCUUGUUCUUUUUGUUGUUGUUCUUCUUCUUGUUCCUCUUGUUGUCCCUCUUGUUGACGUUGUUGUUGUUCUUGUUGUCGUUCUUGUUCUUGUUUUUCUUGUCGUCGUUCUUGUCGUCGUCCUUCUUGUUGUCCUUGUUGUUGUUUUUGUUGUCGUUUUUGUUGUCCUUGUUGUCGUUCUUGUUCUUUUUGUUCUUGUUGUCGUUCAUGUUGUCGUUCUUGUUGUCGUUCUUGUUGUCUGUCUUGUUGUCGUUCCUGUUGUCGUUCUUUUUGUUCUUGUUGUCGUUCAUGUUCUUCUUGUUCUUCUUGUUGUCGUUCUUGUUGUCGUUCUUGUUGUCGUUCUUGUUGUUGUUCCGUUGUUCUUGACGUUCAUGUUGUUCUUGUUGUGGUUUUUGUUGGUUAUGUUGUUGUUGUUCUUCUUCUUCUUCUUCUUCUUGUUCUUCUUGUUGUUCUUGUUUUCUUGUUGUUCUUCUUGUUGUGUUUCUUGUUAUUCUUGUUGUUGUGUUUCUUGUUGUUCUUGUUUCUUCUUCUUCUUGUUUUUCUUGUUCUUGUUGUUCUUGUUGUUCUUCUUGUUGUUCUUCCUGUUGUCGUUCUUUUUGUUCUUGUUGUCGUUCAUGUUCUUCUUGUUGUCGUUCUUUUCGUUCUUCUUGUCGUUCUUUUUGUUGUUGUUUUUCUUAUCGUUCUUGUUUUUGUCGUUGUUGUCCUCCUUGUUGUCGUUUUUUUCGUUGUUGUUGUUGUCCUUCUUGUUCUCGUGCUUGUUGUAG
This 1476-nucleotide long non-coding RNA is filed under the name Astyanax mexicanus (Mexican tetra). Its description in RNAcentral is "lncRNA (ENSAMXG00005011830.1)". The record is from RNAcentral. Lineage: Eukaryota; Metazoa; Chordata; Actinopteri; Characiformes; Acestrorhamphidae.